GGGGGCACCCUGACGGAGCGACGCCGCGUGCAGGAUGAAGGCCUUCGGGUCGUAAACUGCUGUCACACGUUAUGAAACUGUACGAACUAAUACUUCGUACCUUGACAAAGGCGUGAAAGGAAGCCACGGCUAACUUCGUGCCAGCAGCCGCGGUAAGACGAAGGUGGCUAGCGUUGCUCGGAUUUACUGGGCAUAAAGCGCGCGUAGGUGGUCUUGUAAGCGGGGGAUGAAAGCCCAUGACUCACCCAUGGAACUGUCUCCCGGACUGCAAGGCUCGAGGAAGGAAGGGGAGAAUGGAAUUCCCGGUGUAGCGGUGAAAUGCGUAGAUAUCGGGAGGAACGCCGGUGGCGAAAGCGAUUCUCUGGUCCUUUCCUGACACUGAGGCGCGAAAGCUAGGGGAGCAAACAGGAUUAGAUACCCUGGUAGUCCUAGCUGUAAACGAUGGGCACUAGGUAGAGGGGGUGUCGAUACUCUCUCUGUCGUAGCAAAUGUGUUAAGUGCCCCGCCUGGGGAGUACGGUCGCAAGGCU
This 529-nucleotide ribosomal RNA is filed under the name uncultured Planctomycetota bacterium. RNAcentral describes it as "bacterial SSU rRNA". It matches the Rfam family "Bacterial small subunit ribosomal RNA", at positions 374 to 895 of the family's 1533-position model. Lineage: Bacteria; Pseudomonadati; Planctomycetota. The record is from RNAcentral.